This 253-nucleotide ribosomal RNA is filed under the name uncultured bacterium. RNAcentral's name for it is "partial 16S ribosomal RNA". It matches the Rfam family "Bacterial small subunit ribosomal RNA", at positions 524 to 776 of the family's 1533-position model. The record is from RNAcentral.
UACGUAGGGUGCGAGCGUUGUCCGGAAUUACUGGGCGUAAAGAGCUCGUAGGUGGUUUGUCGCGUUGUUCGUGAAAACUCACAGCUCAACUGUGGGCGUGCGGGCGAUACGGGCAGACUGGAGUACUGCAGGGGAGACUGGAAUUCCUGGUGUAGCGGUGGAAUGCGCAGAUAUCAGGAGGAACACCGGUGGCGAAGGCGGGUCUCUGGGCAGUAACUGACACUGAGAGACGAAAGCUAGGGGAGCAAAUGGG